RNAcentral lists this ribosomal RNA (77 nucleotides) under Nasutitermes sp. UCR ENT 00063046. RNAcentral's name for it is "partial 16S ribosomal RNA". Lineage: Eukaryota; Metazoa; Arthropoda; Insecta; Blattodea; Termitidae. The record is from RNAcentral.
UAAAAAUAAAUAAAUAACCACCAGAAAUUAAAUAAGACAUAUGAAUUAAAUUCAUUUCCUGAAAAACCAGAAACCAC